This is a non-coding RNA of Cynocephalus volans (Philippine flying lemur), 381 nucleotides long. NCBI's taxonomy places the organism in Eukaryota, Metazoa, Chordata, Mammalia, Dermoptera, Cynocephalidae. The record is from the annotation of a RefSeq genome assembly.
AUGAGCUCUUCUUCAGCUUUAGUGACUGUGAUACUCUUAAUGCUUGGAAAAAUCCAUGGAGACUCAGUGACCCAGACAGAAGGCCAAGUGACCCUUUCACAAGGGGCAUUCUUGACUAUAAACUGCACUUAUACAGCCACAGGGUACCCUUCUCUUUUAUGGUAUGUCCAAUAUCCUGGAGAAGGUCCACAGCUCCUUCUGAAAGCCAUGGCGGCCAAUGAAAAGGGAAGCAACAAAGGUUUUGAAGCCACAUACCAUCGAGAAACAACCUCCUUCCACUUGAAGAAAGCCACAGUCCAAAUGUCAGACUCGGCUAUGUACUACUGUGCUCUGAGUGACACAGUGACAGGAACUGCAGGGGGAGCUGAGCACAAACUCUGA